GACGAACGCUGGCGGCGUGCUUAACACAUGCAAGUCGAACGGAAAGGCCCUGCUUUUGUGGGGUGCUCGAGUGGCGAACGGGUGAGUAACACGUGAGUAACCUGCCCUUGACUUUGGGAUAACUUCAGGAAACUGGGGCUAAUACCGGAUAGGAGCUCCUGCUGCAUGGUGGGGGUUGGAAAGUUUCGGCUGUUGGGGAUGGACUCGCGGCUUAUCAGCUUGUUGGUGGGGUAGUGGCUUACCAAGGCUUUGACGGGUAGCCGGCCUGGGAGGGUGACCGGCCACAUUGGGACUGAGAUACGGCCCAGACUCCUACGGGAGGCAGCAGUGGGGAAUAUUGCACAAUGGGCGGAAGCCUGAUGCAGCAACGCCGCGUGCGGGAUGACGGCCUUCGGGUUGUAAACCGCUUUCGCCUGUGACGAAGCGUGAGUGACGGUAAUGGGUAAAGAAGCACCGGCUAACUACGUG
This 468-nucleotide ribosomal RNA is filed under the name uncultured bacterium. Its description in RNAcentral is "partial 16S ribosomal RNA". It matches the Rfam family "Bacterial small subunit ribosomal RNA", at positions 28 to 507 of the family's 1533-position model. The record is from RNAcentral.